GACGAACGCUGGCGGCGCGCUUAACACAUGCAAGUCGAGCGAUGAAAUCUUAACAGAACCCUUCGGGGUGAAGAUAAGACGGAUUAGCGGCGGACGGGUGAGUAACACGUGAGUAACCUGCCUUUUACACAGGGAUAGCCUCAGGAAACCGGGAUUAAAACCUGAUGAAACUAUCAAAUCACAUGAUUAAGAAAGUUAAAACUCCGGUGGUAAAAGAUGGACUCGCGUCCCACUAGCUAGUUGGUGAAGGUAACGGCCCACCAAGGCAACGAUGGGUAGCCGGCCUGAGAGGGUGAACGGCCACAUUGGAACUGAGAAACGGUCCAAACUCCUACGGGAGGCAGCAGUGGGGAAUAUUGCACAAUGGGGGAAACCCUGAUGCAGCGACGCCGCGUGAGCGAAGAAGGCCUUCGGGUCGUAAAGCUCUUUUAUAUGGGAAGAUAAUGACGGUACCAGAAGAAAAAGCCCCGGCUAACUACGUG
This 482-nucleotide ribosomal RNA is filed under the name uncultured bacterium. RNAcentral's name for it is "partial 16S ribosomal RNA". It matches the Rfam family "Bacterial small subunit ribosomal RNA", at positions 28 to 507 of the family's 1533-position model. The record is from RNAcentral.